CCCCGCUGCACUGUGAAAGGGCGUCAGGGUGGGGAGGCUGAGCCUGGGAGGGAGGGAGGUGCGGAGCCGCCGCAGGUGUUUCUUUUACUGGAUGCGGCUCAUGGCCGCAUCCAGGUUUUGCUUUUCACCUUUGAGUCUGUGAGAAAAGGAGCAGGAAAAAGCAAAAGGCGCUGGUGGCAGCACACCCAGCACUGCUGGGCCGGGGUUCAAGUCCCCGUGGCGUCCCUGCUUCUUUCCUGCUUCUGCUCCAGGCCCUUGCCCACCCCCCCAUCAGGGGCUUCCUGGUCCCCCAGGAGAGAGGUGUCAGGGUGGGGUACCUGGGGCCCUCUCCCAGGAGCACUCCUGCUCACCCCCGUGGGGCAGUGGGGCCAAGACAAGAGGGCAGGGUCCUGCGGGUCCUCUCAGGAGCUGCCCGUCCCCUGGGCCACAUGUAGCAGGUGAAUUAGCACCAUCUGCCCACUCCUGUGGGAAGGGGAGGAGGAGAGCCUGGGACCUCCGAACCCCAAGGCUGAGGGGCCCUGGAGUGGCCACACUCCUCAGGGUGUGCUCCCCACCUGGCCUCUCCAUCCCGGGCUCCCAGGAUCAACUCACCACCACCCUCAUCUCUGCCUCCGAGGACCAGGAUGGCUCUUCCAGGGAGGACUGGGUGGAUGAGGUCAAAGGGGAAGUGGUCUGGCUAGAGGCUAGUAGGGCCAGAGUGGCCCUGGGGGAGCAGGAAGAGAAGGACCAAAAACAGGCCCUGGUGCAGGAAAUGCAAAUGAUGGUGGGUGGCAGGAGGGGCCAGGGUGGGCACUGCGGUCUGAGCCUGUACUCCAGGCACCUGGGACCUGGAGGAGGAUCCAAGGAGACCCCCCCCCCCCCCAGCCCCACGGCUUGGGACCCAGCAGGAGCAGUGUGCUGUGAUCUUAAGCUCCCACGCAAGCUCACAGCGGCUGCCUCCUCCUUCAGUCUCUGACAUUCUCUGCUCCUCUCCCAGCUUGGGCCAGCCUCCCCAUCCCUCCCACCCCCCCAGAAAGAGGUCAGAGGGUCACAAUCCACUUCCUUGGCCAUCAUGCUGAUGCUUCAGCACCUUGGAACAGGGCUGCUGGGCUCCAGCCUGACCCCAUGAUUCCCCAGGGGCCCCUCCCAUCACUGCAAUCAUCUCUUCCUUUAACAGCCCGCCUCCCAGAGGGAACAGCUCACCCACUAGCCAGACGUCUCCCUCUCUUCUCACCUGGAGCUUGCUGUGGGUGGUCCUUGUAGAUACGGUGGGUGAUGUUGGGCACCUGGAAGCAUCUCAUAAAGUGGGGCAGGUUGGGUGGGAAUGGGGGGUCUGAGAAGGGUAGAGAUGACAAGGCAAUUCUCCCUAGGCCUCAUCCCCCCAGAGCUGAGGACCUGUCCCUUCGAAGAGUCUGCAGAGGGGCAGGGCACUAGUUGGCCAAGCCACCUUCAGAUUCCAGGUCAAGGGCCUCCCGUCUCCCUAAGUUUAGAGCCAAGACAAGAUAGUUCACCCUGGGACCCCAAUGUCCAGCACAGGGCCCAGCACUGAGUAGGUGCUCAAUAGGCAUCUAUGGAAUGAAGGAAGAAAUGAAUGUAUGAAGAAAGAAAGCAGGGCCACAGCUGCUGUGGGUCUUUAGGUGGCCCUCUGAGAAUGACCUCUCCCUUCUUUAGGCCAGGAAGUCCCACAUAGAUCUCUGAACAAAGGAACAGCAUUCUAAGUGACUUACGUGGAUCUUCAUUUUAUCCUCCCAACAGCCCUCUGAGGUCAGGUGCAGCAUUAGCUCUAUGUUGCUGAAACUGAGGUUGGGAGAGGCUAAGUGACUAACUCAAGGUCACACUAGCAGUUAAGUGGCAGGGCCAAAAUCAAACCCAGGUUCACUGACUUCCAUGCCUGUGUUCUUCUCAGCAUGCCACACGUCCUUGAAUUAGAAACCACAAGAAGGGAUGGGAGAGGGAGGCUACGGCAGCAACACAGGCCUGCUGCAGGCAUCCAUGCCCUUGGUCCUCUCUGCGCUUCCCUUUCUCCCAUCUGGGAAGGCCCUGCCCUAGUUGUGCGGGUGGGUACCAAGGAAACAGAGGACUCUACUUCUGGGCCCUACCACAAGCCUGAGGUAGAUGCCAGCCCUGGGGGAUCUUACCACAGGUCCUGUUUCCACCAGGCAGACCACAGGUUAAGGCAGGAGUCCAUGGAGUGUGGGGGUAGGGCUCUUCUACAAAUUCCAAGGGCCAAGGUGAUGGAUACUGCUGCCCUCACAGUACCCUUAGAGGUCCCCCAACCUGCAAGCUACCUCAUGUCCUGGGCUCACAUGAGGUGGAGGUGCCAGGCAUUCAAGAUGAGACAUUGUGUGUGUUUGGGGGCUUUGGGAUGCUUCUGGGAGCAGCAGGAGCUCCACAGACAGCACUCAACCACAGGCUCCACCAUGGUAGGGUGAUUAGGCAGCCCCCGGGUCUGUGUCUGAAGCAAAGAAACAACCAUCUUCCUCUCAGCCGCUGGCCUCCAGGGAUGGGCAGAAACUCAACAGGUGAAAGGAGAGCAUGCCAGGUGGGGAGCAAAGCAGCAGCAAAGGCCUGGAGCUAGAAAAGCAUUGAGUUCAGUUCAUCAGGAGCCCGGGAGACUGGUGGGACACGAGGCUGGAAAAGGGCUGGGCUCUGAUGAGCCUGCUUCUCCAGAGCAUCUGCGGGGCUCAAGUGAGGAGAUGCAUUUGAAGAAUUCUGAAAAAAUGUCUGGAUCACAAGUCUAACUCAACAUAUUUCCAUUUUAUUUACUUAUUAACAGUAAUUUAUGUUUCGCUUACUCUGUGCCAGACAUUGUUCUAAAUUCUUUAUAAAUAUAUUAACUUACUUAAUUCUCACAACAAUGAGUAGGUUCUAUUAUUUCCAUUCUCAGAUAAGAAACCUGAGGUACCAAGAUGACGUGACUUGCCCAAGGUCAUACAGAUUGUAUGUCAUGGAGUUGGGAUUUGAACUCAGUCUGGCUCCAAAGUCUGAACCAUCACACCAGGCCAAGAUCUAAGGUUUUCAAUAUUUAAAAGUCUAUCUUUCUGGGACAGGCUUUUUCCCAGCUUUCCCCAGUUUUGGUUUUAUGCUAAGUGGGAGUCAUAUGUAUUUCUUUCAAUCUUACAAGACAGUAAUUAUUUCUACCCAGCUUCACAGAAGAGAAGAGUUAGGCCGGGAGAGAGUAAAUUCUGAGUUGGGUUUCAGACCUAGAUUUUGUCUUAAGGAUCCUCUUCGAGUAUUUCUCUUUCCAACAACCCCCCACCCCCACCCCACCCAUCGCUGGACUAGGCCUGAUGGCUACAAUGGGAGAGGCAAAGCGGGACGGGUUGGGGGUCCGAGGCUCUGGGACGCACUGAUCCUGGUCAGUCUCAUCUCCCCCGCUGUAGCUGGAGCCACCUGGGACGUCCCGGGCCGCCCGCUCCCGGGUUGCGCCCUCUACAUCCUGGCCGCACCUGAAGCCCCGCCGCGGGACCGUCUGCCUCGCGCACCCGUCGCCAGCCCGCUCGCUCGCUCUGCACCCUAACUCUGUGCUUAAACAGAGAUGUCCACCUCGAAUGAGAAAACCGAGGUUCCAGCGGAGCACUCUGCUCCAAGGUCCCGACAAAUAGCUAGGCUUCCGUCCGAGCGCUAGGCGAAGCGGCUCGCAUCCUCUGCCGCGUGCCAGGCCGGCAGGGAGCCCGCUUUCCACCUCUGCGGGACCGACCGGAGCGCAGACGUCACUAUCUCAACCCGCCCCUCUGAGAGGCUCGGCGCGCCCUGGACAGCUCCUGCGCCUGCGCAGACCGCGGAGGGGCGUGGCGAGGAGGACGGGGGCGUGGCCUUGGAGGAGGGCGUGAGGCGGCGCGGGGCAGUGACGCAAUGCGCCCCUAGUGGCGGGUGUCGCCCUCACUGUGUACCCUCGGGAUUCGGUUUCCAUGGUUACGGCGGCGCGAGGCAGAGUCCCAGGUAAGAUCCCCGUAGAACUGAAAGGUGACACCUGAGGGACUGGAGCCAACGGGGCUCGGGAGAACGGAGAAGCAGGGCCGGACCCCGGGCCGGCGGGAGGCCCGGCCCGCCCCGCGCGUGUCCCUCCUGCGCGCUCUGGUCCUCUCUACCCCGCGGGUCCCGUAGGAUGCUGUCCCGUCCACAAGCGCCCUUCGGCCCCACGAACUGUCCUGGACUCCCACGCCCCUCCUCCUGUCUCCCCCAGCUGCUGACCUCACUCUUCUCCGUCCUCAAGUCGCCAACAUGCAGCUGUUUGUCCGCGCCCGGGAGCUGCACACUCUUGAAGUGACCAGCCUGGAGACAGUUGCCCAGAUCAAGCCUAUGUAGCCUCCUUGGAGGGCCUCACCCCUGAAGAUAAGGUGGUGCUUCCGGCGGGUUCUCCCCUACGGGAUGAAGCCGCCCUGGGUCAGUGUGGGGUAGAAGCCCUGACGACCGUGGAAGUGGUUGGCCCUAUGCUAGGAGGUGAGUGAGGAUACAGAGGCCCCAAACUGGUGCCCAGGGACUAUUCAUGACUUAUUUUGAUUGCCCUGCACGAUGUCUAACAUUUUUUGUUUUAAUUCACAAUAUCUAAAAGUCAGCCGAUUUUUGUGUUAAAAUUCAUGGCUGGCUUUGCUUCCAAAAUUGGGAAGAUCUGGCGACAAUGGGCCUGUGGUCCCACAUACCAAUAGCUGACUAGUGCCAGCCGCCUUUGGACAGUUCUGCAGUUUCCUGCAGUCCCCACUCCUUCCUGUUGCGCCUCAUAACCAGUGUCAGGUACCAUUUAGCAUCAGGCUUGUGCUGAUGUUUCUCUUAUAGUAAAGAAAAGUGAACUCUCUUUUUGUACCUAUGUCUCUAUGAAAAGUGAGAAAACGAAAGGUGAAUUGAGAGCGUCGCAUGUUUCAAGAAAAGUGGGAGCGAGCGUAUUUCUUUGUGGAAGUAAAGAAUAGCCCUAUGUGUUUAAUAUGUAACCAAACUUUGUCGGUGUCAAAAGAAUACAACUAAAGACACCAUUAUGAAUGAAACCAUAGUAAGACUUUUGACUGGUAUACAGAAAAGAUGCGUCAUGAAAAACUUAAGGAACUAAAAAAAGGACUAAACCUUCUCCAGCAUUUAUGAUCGAAUGCAAGUAAAAUAAGUGAUGCUGCUGUGAAAUGCAGUUAUGUAAUAAGUGAAAAAAUUGCCGGGCCAUCAAAACCUUUUACAGAUGGUGAGUUUAUCAAAGACUGUCUAUUGCGUGCAGCUGAAAUCAUGUGUUCGGAACAGAAACAAGCAUUUGCAAACAUAAGUCUAACUGGAAAUACUGUUGCUCAGCGAGUAAAAGAUAUGGCUGAGAACUUACAGGACAAGUUGUGGGAAAAAGUGAAGUUAUUUGUGACAUUUUCUAUUGCAGUUGAUGAGAGCACAUACAUAAAUAAUACAAGCCAGUUAAUUAUAUUUAUCUGUGGUGUUGAUGAGAAUUUUGACAUCACUGAAGAACUUUUGGACGUGGUACCCAUGACAGACCCAACAUCUGAAAAUGACUUAUUUUUAUAUGUUGAGAAAAGUCUUGAAAAGUUUAAUGGUGACUGGUCAAAAUUAGUGAGUGUGACCACAGACGGUGCUCCUGUGGUCUGUGAGAACACUGGACUUGUUGCAAAACUUAAGUCCAAGGUCAGAAUGUUUUGCAAGGAAGCAGAACUUAAAUCCAUUCACUGCAUUAUUCACCGGGAAUUGUCUUGUACCAAAAAGUUAAAACCAGAACAUGUCAUGGAUGUGGUGAUUAACACAGUGAAGUGGAUACGUUCCCGUGGCUCCAGCCACAGACAGUUCGGUGCUUUGCUUGAGGAACUGGCUGCGCGAUAGGGUAAUCUCCUUUACUAUACUAAGGUAAGGUGGCUUAGUCGUGGCAUGGUGCUGAAGAGAUUUUUUGAAUUGAUAAAAGAGAUGGAUUCGUUCAUGUCAUCCAAGGAGAAAUCCCUUCCCCAGCUCACCAGCAAAGACUGGCUCAGAGACCUGGCCUUUUUGGUUGACAUUACAAACCAUCUAAACAUUUUGAAUAUUUCUCUGCAAAGACAUUCACAAGUAGUUACACAAAUGUAUGGUACAGUUUGCUCUUUCCUAGCAAAAUUGAGUCUUUGGGAAACUCAUUUGGCAGUAAAUAAUCUGGCACGCUUUCCUACACUGAAGUCAGUUUCCAGAAAUGAAAGUGAUGGCUUAAUCUACAUCCUCAGAAUUGUAGAGUUGAAGAUUGAAUUCCAAGAAAGGUUCUUUGAUUUCAAACACUAUGAAAAUGAACUCACAUUGUUUAGCUCACCUUUUUCAAUUAACAUUGACAGUGUUAAUGAGGAAUUACAAAUGGAAGUUAUUGAACUACAGUGUAAUACGGUACUGAAAACUAAGUAUGAUGCCACUGGAAUACCAGAAUUCUACAAAUACCUCAGCAAGAGUUACCCUAGGUAUAGAAACCACUGUGCAAAGAUUCUGUCCAUGUUUGGAAGCACCUGUGUCUGUGAACAGCUGUUUUCUGUUAUGAAAUUGAGUAAAACUAAAUUUCGCUCCCAGUUAAAGGAUACAAGAUUGAAUUCAGUUCUGCACAUUGCAACUCGAAAUAUGAGACCAGACAUUGACAUCCUGGUGCAGAAAAAAAGGUGUCAGGUUUCAGGUUCCAAUUCAAGGGAGUAACAGAUUAUGAAAUAAAAUUUUAAUAAUUAAAGAUUUCUGUUUUUUGAUAUGUAUUUUAAAAUUUUAUAUUUGAAAUAUCUAGUAUUAUAAACUUUGUAUAUUACGUGCUGGCACUGUGGUUCAAUAAAAAAAUAAGUUUAGGUGGGUUUUUUCUCCAGGCAUUUGAUUUUUCAUAAACCUGGCCCAUUGUACUUUUUUUUUUUUACCUACUUGGCUGACCAACAGUAGUUUGAGACUUCUGCCUAAUAGAGUUAGUUACCAUGACUAGUUUUUGGUUUUUUUGCUGAGGAAGAUUCGCCCUGAGCUAACAUCUGUUGCCCAUCUUCCUCUAUUUUGUAUGUGAGCUGCCACCACAGCAUGGUCACUUAUACAUGAGUGGUGUAGGUCCACGCCUGGGGACCAAACCCGGGCCACCAAAGCUGAGUGCACCAAACUUAACCAGUAGUCUGCUGGGGCUGGCCCCCAUGAUUAGUUUUUAUGGAUUUUUUACUUAUCUCAAGCCAGGGAAAAACUCACUUGCUGCCUUGAGAAAAAUGUGCCUGAGCUGUAGAAUUUCUGUGGAUGUUGGAGCCAGGUUGUGCUAGUUAUCAAUUUAUUGCCUCUCAGCUCCAAAUUCAGCCUUCAUUGUCUGCUCUCCAAAAGCGGAUCUGAGCCCUUUAAAUAUCUUUCCUCUGACAGCAGGCAUGAUAUUAAAUUUUGUCAGUAGAGGGCACUGGAGACACAUUGCAGAAGAAAGGCGUUUUCUUUCCUGCUUUGCCCACUUGGCAGGCCUCUGCAAUGUAGGUGGCUUCUCUUGCGCCAGGCUCCUGCAGUGCCCAGCAGUCAGCAGCACCCAGGAGCCAGCAGCGUACCCCUUCAGGCAGUUUUGUAAUGGAGUCCUUCUGCUGAGACACUUCCCCUUGAACAGCUUUCCCCAGUACCCUAAAGGGCAGAUUUCCAGCAAAUUCUGUCAGUGUGGCACUGCAGUAAUUUCUCUGCUAUUCUGUAAGCCUGAACCAUGUCCUAGCCAACAAGGCCUGGAUUUCAGCCCUUCAGUGGGGAGCCUUUUCCUUGGGCAUCUGCUCAGCCCUGGGGUAGUGGCCACUCCUUAUACCUGCUGUUUCUUCAGAAUUCUUCUUACAAACCAGUUCCUUUUUAUUUCAAUCACUUGUUGUAGUUAAUAAUUUUUAUAUUAAAUCACUGUUCAAAUUA
Long non-coding RNA from Equus quagga, 7791 nucleotides. RefSeq lists it as uncharacterized. Lineage: Eukaryota; Metazoa; Chordata; Mammalia; Perissodactyla; Equidae. The transcript has 2 exons. The record is from RefSeq and is a predicted model, not a curated record.